This 410-nucleotide ribosomal RNA is filed under the name uncultured bacterium NIC016. RNAcentral's name for it is "partial 16S rRNA". It matches the Rfam family "Bacterial small subunit ribosomal RNA", at positions 53 to 474 of the family's 1533-position model. Lineage: Bacteria; Pseudomonadati; Pseudomonadota; Gammaproteobacteria. The record is from RNAcentral.
ACAUGCAAGUCGNUUGCUCCUCUUGAGAGCGCGACGGGUGGGUGAAUGCCUAGGUAUCUGCCUGUAUGGAGAGAUAACGUUCGAAACGGACGCUAAUACCGCAUACGUCCUACGGGAGAAAGCAGGGGACCUUCGGGCCUUGCGCUAUCAGAUGAGCCUAGGUCGGAUUAGCUAGCUGGUGAGGUAGUGGCUCACCGAGGGCGACGAUCCGUAACUGGUGCUGAGAGGGUGAUCAGUCACACUGGAACUGAGACACGGUCCAGACUCCUACGGGAGGCAGCAGUGGCGAAUGUUGGACAAUGGGGGAAAGCCUGAUCCAGCCAUGCCGCGUGUGUGAAGAAGGUCUUCGGAUUGUAAAGCACUUUAAGUUGGGAGGAAGGGCAGUAAAUUAAUACUUUGCUGUUUUGACG